CAGCAGCCGCGGGAAUACGGAGGGAGCUAGCGUUAUUCGGAAUUACUGGGCGUAAAGCGCACGUAGGCGGCUUUGUAAGUAAGAGGUGAAAGCCCAGAGCUCAACUCUGGAAUUGCCUUUUAGACUGCAUCGCUUGAAUCAUGGAGAGGUCAGUGGAAUUCCGUGUGUAGAGGUGAAAUUCGUAGAUAUUCGGAAGAACACCAGUGGCGAAGGCGGCUGACUGGACAUGUAUUGACGCUGAGGUGCGAAAGCGUGGGGAGCAAACAGGAUUAGAUACCCCCGUAGUCCCUGUCUCUUAUAC
RNAcentral lists this ribosomal RNA (301 nucleotides) under uncultured bacterium. RNAcentral's name for it is "partial 16S ribosomal RNA". It matches the Rfam family "Bacterial small subunit ribosomal RNA", at positions 509 to 807 of the family's 1533-position model. The record is from RNAcentral.